GUUUCCCAGUACGGCGACGAAGUGGCAACAGCCCAGAUUUGAAAUCUGGCGGGGGUCCGAGUUGUAAUCUGCAGAUGGUGUUUCCGGGGGCGCGCGUGCCGAGUUACCUGGAACGGUUCGCCACAGAGGGUGAGAGCCCCGUACGGCGGCGCGGCCUCCCCCAGCGAAGCCCAUUCGGAGAGUCGAGCAGUUUGGGAAUGCUGCUCUAAAGGGAGGUAAAUCCCUUCCAAGGCUAAAUACCUGCCGGAGACCGAUAGCGCAGAAGUAGCGCGAGCGAAAGGUGAAUAGAACUCUGAAAAGAGAGUUAAAGCAUGUGAAAUCGUUGAAGGGGAAGCGGUUUCGACCAGACUCGCGCCGGUCGGUCACCCAGCGGUCACGCUGGGCUACUCUGCCGGCGCGGGCCAGCAUCGGCUGGCGGCGGGGGUAAAGGCCCGGGGAACGUGGCUCUUCGGAGUGUUAUAGCCCCGGGCGCAAUGCCCCGUUGCCGGCCGAGGAUCCAGCGCCCGCAAGGAUGCUGGCGUAAUGGUCGACUCCGACCCGUCUUGAAACACGGACCAAGGAGUUGACUCGCGUGCGAGUGUAAGGGUGCCGAACCCUGACGCGCAAUGAAAGUGAACGCAGGUGGGACCCUCGCGGCACCACCGACCGACCCUGAGGUCUCGACGGGUUCAGUACAGCACGCCGGGUCUGACCGAAAGAAGGUGAACUAUGCCUGGAUAGGUGAGCCAGAGGAACUCUGUGGAGGCUCCACGGUUUUACUGCAAUCGAUCUCAAUCUGGCAUGGGGGCGNAAAACCAAUCGAACCUUC
Molecule: ribosomal RNA, 808 nt
Filed under: Pseudoascotaiwania persoonii
Lineage: Eukaryota; Fungi; Ascomycota; Sordariomycetes; Fuscosporellales; Fuscosporellaceae
Description: eukaryotic LSU rRNA
Rfam family: Eukaryotic large subunit ribosomal RNA
Source: RNAcentral